This is a non-coding RNA of Meleagris gallopavo (turkey), 3155 nucleotides long. The record is from RefSeq and is a predicted model, not a curated record. Lineage: Eukaryota; Metazoa; Chordata; Aves; Galliformes; Phasianidae.
AUUUAUUUUUCUCAUCAUGAGCUGGGAACUAUCUGGCAGGGUAACAGAAGGUGUGAGUUGCCAUGCAGGUCUCCUCCCUGCGUGUCCGAGAAACGCUGAACCUGUGCUUCCCUGACAAAAAUUGUCGGGUGUUACAUAUUUUCUGUGGAUGUGACAAGAGCUCGUUGACACGCAUGUUCAUUUUAUUUACCAAAAUAAUUACCUGAAUUAUCUGAAAUUCAGUGGAUCCAGUGGAUGUGUUUCUUCACAAACUACAGCUUCUCAUUGUGCAGGCUGUCUGGAUUCACUUAUCCAAAGGAAAGAAAAAAAAAAUGGGGUGGAAUAACUGCUGUGGUGAUAAGACUGUUAAGCAGUGUAUGAUUCACGUUUUUCCUGUGUUGUUCAGUGAGCCAUUUGACAGCUGCUAGAUUUGACUAAUCAGGUGGGCUGUAAAAUGUGUUCAGCCUUUUGUCACAUGCUUGCCAUCAACAUUAGGAGUCCAGACUAAUUCAGAGAAUGUCUUCUGGGGAAAUAUUCAGUAUUUUUAACUUGAAUUAAUGUUGAGGUUUAUAUAUAGAUGUGAGAUUACUCUUGUCUGUGUAGGAAUUAAAAAUGGAUGCAUACUAAGAAUUUGGCAUUGCAUGAAGAACCGUCAACACAUACAUUGUUUGUUGCUGUUCAUUAAUGAAGUACAGAUUGGGAAGUCUCAUGAUCCAAAAGUGUAGAGAGCUCUGAUGGGGAUGGAGAAACCACUGCAAAAUACCUGCACAUUUCAGGUCUGAUUUUCAGAGGUACAGUAAGUGAGAAUGAUGCAGAAGAAGGCCCUCUGGGAUGUUUUGUUCAAACGUGUUACAAAAUGCCCCUCCCAGAUACUGCUCACCUAAUGGCCUCUUCCCCACAAUCUCCCACUGCAGAAACCCUGCAGCCUCUCCAGAGACAGACAGUCAACCAGCAAAUGCUCUGCCAACAUGGUGGUCUCCUGGAAUUUCUGGACUCUGCAUUUUCUCCUACUGUCCACUUUGUUCUAAUACAACAGUAUUUCUUGAGAGGUGACCUUGAUCCAACGUUCACAAGCAUUCAUCCUUCAGCAUUAAUCCCAUGGUAAUGACUUUUAUUCAUAAAAUCACAUUCAAGUGGAAAGGACUAGAAACAUGCUUGAAAACACAACAAAUUAUCCUUCUCUUUGAUACGCACUGCUAUGAUACAGCUGCUACAAAGAGCUUCAGACAAGCUGAAGAGUGGUGACUUCAGGGAUACUACAUCUGUUUUUCCCAGUGGCUUCUCUUAAUCAAAGAGCUUGUGUACUCCAACAGCUAUCAACGUAACUAUCUUUUAAUGUUGCAAAGAAGAGAUGUCUGGUUGGACAGUUCUUCAAAGCACAUAAAUUGCUUCUGAUACCUACAGAGCUAAGCAGAGGAGCAGCACAGCAUGCAUGGUCUAUAACAACUGAGUGAAUCCUCAGGAUUUCAUACACCAGCAUCCUCCUGCAACAUCCCUGGGAAUCAUAUUUUUUAAUAGUUUUAUUUUUGUCAUAGUAUAAUAUAAGUAAAACCCAUGCAAUUUCUUGGAUUUAAAUGGGAUUGUUUUGGUUGAAUCUCUAUUUAUUUUUUUAUUGUUUUGGAAAUGUGUCCAGCUGUACUGAGAAAAUACUGCUUUUAUAUUCUUUAAAUAUUAAAGUGUUCUUUUCUUAGCUAAUUAAAGUUAACCUUUCGUCACUGAUGAUGGUGACAGCGAAAGUUUAGCUUCUAAGGUACCUUUGAUGUCAUCAUUCCACAUGUGGUGCCAGUGACAGUGUCAGUAAAAUCCUUCAAUGGAAAGCUGAAGACAAAAUUCUCUUAGUUUUACUGAAGAAAAUAUUUGGAAAGUAAAAGAAAAAUAUCACCAUGAUUGUAAGCAGAACCAUCACUAAAAGGAUGCAGGCUUUUCCUUCCUUGCUUUUACUAUCUGCAAAGGAGCAUAAAGCCAAGAAUAGCUUGAGAAUUUCUGAGGAGAAAACAAGAAUGUUAUUGCGGAACUAAGUUCAUAGAGACUAUAAAAUAAAUGCUACCACUAGAUGGUAGCACAUACUAAUUUAUUGUACUGCAACAGAGUCUUUGUUAAAAAAAAAGAAAAGAAAGGAAAAGAAAACAAAAGAAAAGAAAAGAAAAGAAAAGAAAGCAAAAGAAAACAAAAGAAAAGAAAUCCUGCAUAAAGGGAACAGAUGGCAUAACUGCCCGACUGGAAACAAAUUCUGUUCUCUCUGGAGACAGUAACAUAAUUUCUCAUUUAGUAUAAUUAACUUAUUAGGUUCAAAAUUCUGUUUUUCAGGUCAAGUACCAGGCUUGCAUUAUAGUUCUAAUGUUUAAGAGUUGUCUUCUGAGGCACUAAGCUUUCACAGAAUCAUAGAAUCAUAGAAACCUUAGAGUUGGAAGGGACAUCUGAAAGCCAUCUAGUUCAACUCUCCCACAAUGAACAGGGACUAGAUCAGGUUGCCUCAGGCCUGAUCGAGCCUCACCCUGAAAGUCUCCAGGGAUGGGACAUCCACCACCCCUCUGGGCAACCUGUUACAGUGCCUCAUUACCCUCUCUGUGAAAGAUUUCUUCCAUAUAACUAACCUAUAUCUAGCCUCUUUGAGCUUGAAACCAUUUCCCCUUGUUCUAUUACUACAGACCCUGCUAAAGAGUCUGACCCCUCCUUUCCUGGAGCUCCCACUGAGGUUCUAAAAGCCUGCUGUCAGGUCACCUUGGAGCCUUCUCUUCUCCAGACUGAACAGUCCCAGCUCUCUGAGCCUGUCCUCAUAGCAGAGGUAUUCCACCCCUUGGAUUAUUUUUGUCCCCUUCUCUGGAUGCACUCCAACAGGUCCAUUCUCUCCUGUACUGGGAGACUCCACAUCUGGAUGCUGUACUCCAAGGGAGGCCUCAUCAGCGCACAGUAGAGAUGCAGGAUCACCUUCUUUGCCCUGCUGGUCGCACUUUUUUGAUUCGGCCCAGGAUACAGUAAGCUUUCUGAGCAACAAGGGUGCACUGCUAGCUCAGGUCCAGCUUCACAUCCAUCACUUCCCAUGCAGACCUUUUUUCAGCAGGGCUGCUCUCAAUCCUUCCAUCCCACAGCUGGUAGUGGUAUUGGACUUGGCUCUGUUCAGGAGCAAGAUAUUAUAGAAUCAUAGAAUGGGCUGGGUUGAAAGAGACUACAAUGAU